RNAcentral lists this ribosomal RNA (680 nucleotides) under uncultured Clostridium sp. RNAcentral describes it as "bacterial SSU rRNA". It matches the Rfam family "Bacterial small subunit ribosomal RNA", at positions 68 to 776 of the family's 1533-position model. The record is from RNAcentral. Lineage: Bacteria; Bacillati; Bacillota; Clostridia; Eubacteriales; Clostridiaceae.
GAUUCUCUUCGGAGAAGAGCGGCGGACGGGUGAGUAACGCGUGGGUAACCUGCCCUGUACACACGGAUAACAUACCGAAAGGUAUGCUAAUACGAGAUAAUAUGCUUUUAUCGCAUGGUAGAAGUAUCAAAGCUUUUGCGGUACAGGAUGGACCCGCGUCUGAUUAGCUAGUUGGUAAGGUAACGGCUUACCAAGGCGACGAUCAGUAGCCGACCUGAGAGGGUGAUCGGCCACAUUGGAACUGAGACACGGUCCAAACUCCUACGGGAGGCAGCAGUGGGGAAUAUUGCACAAUGGGCGAAAGCCUGAUGCAGCAACGCCGCGUGAGCGAUGAAGGCCUUCGGGUCGUAAAGCUCUGUCCUCAAGGAAGAUAAUGACGGUACUUGAGGAGGAAGCCCCGGCUAACUACGUGCCAGCAGCCGCGGUAAUACGUAGGGGGCUAGCGUUAUCCGGAAUUACUGGGCGUAAAGGGUGCGUAGGUGGUUUCUUAAGUCAGAGGUGAAAGGCUACGGCUCAACCGUAGUAAGCCUUUGAAACUGGGAAACUUGAGUGCAGGAGAGGAGAGUGGAAUUCCUAGUGUAACGGUGAAAUGCGUAGAUAUUAGGAGGAACACCAGUUGCGAAGGCGGCUCUCUGGACUGUAACUGACACUGAGGCACGAAAGCGUGGGGAGCAAACAGG